GCGAGGAUGGCGGAACUGGCAGACGCGCUAGACUUAGGAUCUAGUACUCAAAAGGUGUAAGGGUUCGACUCCCUUUCCUCGCACCA
RNAcentral lists this transfer RNA (86 nucleotides) under Bacillota bacterium. Its description in RNAcentral is "tRNA-Leu". It matches the Rfam family "tRNA". Rfam says of the family: Transfer RNA (tRNA) molecules are approximately 80 nucleotides in length. Lineage: Bacteria; Bacillati; Bacillota. RNAcentral also lists the same sequence under 2 other names. The record is from RNAcentral.